RNAcentral lists this ribosomal RNA (660 nucleotides) under uncultured Actinomycetes bacterium. RNAcentral describes it as "SSU rRNA". It matches the Rfam family "Bacterial small subunit ribosomal RNA", at positions 245 to 915 of the family's 1533-position model. The record is from RNAcentral. Lineage: Bacteria; Bacillati; Actinomycetota; Actinomycetes.
CUAGUUGGUGAGGUAACGGCUCACCAAGGCUUAGACGGGUAGCUGGUCUGAGAGGAUGAUCAGCCACACUGGGACUGCGACACGGCCCAGACUCCUACGGGAGGCAGCAGUGGGGAAUAUUGCACAAUGGGCGAAAGCCUGAUGCAGCGACGCCGCGUGAGGGAUGACGGCCUUCGGGUUGUAAACCUCUUUCAGCAGGGAAGAAGCGCAAGUGACGGUACCUGCAGAAGAAGCACCGGCUAACUACGUGCCAGCAGCCGCGGUAAUACGUAGGGUGCGAGCGUUGUCCGGAUUUAUUGGGCGUAAAGAGCUCGUAGGCGGCUUGUCGCGUCGGAUGUGAAAGCCCGGGGCUUAACUCCGGGUCUGCAUUCGAUACGGGCAGGCUAGAGUGUGGUAGGGGAGAUCGGAAUUCCUGGUGUAGCGGUGAAAUGCGCAGAUAUCAGGAGGAACACCGGUGGCGAAGGCGGAUCUCUGGGCCAUUACUGACGCUGAGGAGCGAAAGCGUGGGGAGCGAACAGGAUUAGAUACCCUGGUAGUCCACGCCGUAAACGUUGGGAACUAGGUGUGGGUCACAUUCCACGUGGUCCGCGCCGCAGCUAACGCAUUAAGUUCCCCGCCUGGGGAGUACGGCCGCAAGGCUAAAACUCAAAGGAAUUGACG